CCUACGGGUGGCAGCAGUGGGGAAUAUUGCACAAUGGGGGAAACCCUGAUGCAGCGACGCCGCGUGAGUGAAGAAGUACUUCGGUAUGUAAAGCUCUAUCAGUAGGGAAGAAAAUGACGGUAUGUAAUUAAUCAGCUCUGACGAAUUUCGUGCCAGCAGCCGCGGUAAUACGUAGGGGGCAAGCGUUAUCCGGAGUUACUGGGUGUAAAGGGAGCGUAGACGGCAGCACAAGUCUGGAGUGAAAUGCCGUGGCUUAACCCCAGAACUGCUUUGGAAACUGUGAAGCUAGAGUGCAGGAGAGGUAAGUGGAAUUCGUGGUGUAGCGGUGAAAUGCGUAGAUAUUAGGAGGAACACCAAUGGCGAAGGCGGCUUACUGGACUGUAACUGACGUUGAGGCUCGAAAGCGUGGGGAGCAAACAGGAUUAGAUACCCCAGUAGUC
Molecule: ribosomal RNA, 440 nt
Filed under: uncultured bacterium
Lineage: Bacteria
Description: partial 16S ribosomal RNA
Rfam family: Bacterial small subunit ribosomal RNA
Source: RNAcentral